RNAcentral lists this long non-coding RNA (630 nucleotides) under Bos taurus (domestic cattle). Its description in RNAcentral is "long non-coding RNA NONBTAT000768". The record is from RNAcentral. Lineage: Eukaryota; Metazoa; Chordata; Mammalia; Artiodactyla; Bovidae.
GAUGUAUUUAUGUGCUAAAAGAAAUAUAUUUUAGUUUUCCAAUAAAGGGGAUCAAAGUUUUGUGUUUUUUUUUUUUUACAGUUUUGAUUCUCUAAGCUGGUAUAUGCUAUAGUUUCAGGAACUUCAGCAAUAUAGAAAUGUGCUUAUAAAUAUGCUUACCUUUUGAAUAAUCAUGGCUUUGUGUUUAAAUAUUUAAAACUUAGCCUUGUUUUUACUUGUGCACUAUGAAUGAACUUUGUAUUAUUUUUUAAAACGUUCACACUAUAUGUAGAUGUUACUGCAAUUUAUAUUUUGCCUGUGCUUGAUCUAAAAUCAUUGGUGUAGAUGAGUAAUUAAAGACACUGAAAUCAUGUUAUUGGAGAUCAUCUUUUAAGUUGUCUCUGUUAUAAUGAGGGGGAGAGAGAGAGAAACUUAUGCACCCAGGAUGAUAAUUGACUCCACAGUAUAACCAAAUUCAUGGUCUAAUAAGCCUCUUAACAUGUGGCUCUUCUUGGAAUGCUUGACUUUCACAUGCCUCACAUUGCAUAGUUGUAAUUCAUGAUCUAACCAUGCUUUUUCAUGUCUUGAUAUUUGUCAAUACACUUUGGUAUUUUCUUUGGUGAAAUAUAUUUUUUAAAUGUUUUUAAUUGC